Molecule: ribosomal RNA, 280 nt
Filed under: uncultured bacterium
Lineage: Bacteria
Description: partial 16S ribosomal RNA
Rfam family: Bacterial small subunit ribosomal RNA
Source: RNAcentral
CCUACGGGGGGCAGCAGUGAGGAAUCUUGCGCAAUGGGCGAAAGCCUGACGCAGCGACGCCGCGUGGAGGAAGACGGCCUUCGGGUUGUAAACUCCUGUCAGAGGUGAAGAAUCCCCGCAAGGGGUUGACGGUAACCUCAAAGGAAGCCCCGGCUAACUACGUGCCAGCAGCCGCGGUAAUACGUAGGGGGCAAACGUUACUCGGAAUUACUGGGCGUAAAGGGUGUGUAGGUGGUUGAGUAAGUCAUGGAUGAAAUUCCGGAGCUCAACUUCGGAAUUG